UUAGAUUAGAGGAGGCCUGCUGUAAACAACACACAGGAAAGGCAUUUUGCUUCUUUUUAGACUGUCUUUUGUAUCAUGUUUUAUACAAGGGAUGAAAGCAUAAUACAACAUCUGUGAAAUGUUAAUGAGGGUUAUUCACUCUUUACCUAGGUUGGGGGUUUGCAGAAAGGGCGGGUCUGGGAAGGAGGAGGGUGUGGAAGAUUGGAUUCCAUAUGCAAAUGCAGGUAUCAGGGAGUCUGGAAGGCUCUGGAACAAGAGCUAGGCUGGAGGCAUGUCCUGUUGUUAUGGAGGGGAAAGGAGAGCAGCAGAUUUGAGGAGCUGGGAUGGGUGUUCUCUGUCUUGCCCUGAAACAAUCUGGUCACCCGGCCUCCACCAACCAUGUGAAAAACAGGCAGAAAUGAGAAGAAUGCAGCCUGGUGCCCCGGGAACUUGGUCCUCUCUGGGUUGUGAGUUACCAGCACUGUAGCCCAAAUCCAUGAGUACUGGGGUCUGGGGGUACAGGAGACGGGCCUUCACUCCAGAGGCAUAGAUGAGAGCACAGCUGUCCUUCCCUAACUCAGGCAGCGCUCGGGGGUAUCAGGAGGCACACUGCCAAUCACCCCAUGAGGGCACUCAGAACUAGUUCCUCCUACCUCCUCUCCCCUGUGAGAAAGCACUAAGAAAAAUAGGCUGCGGUAGCUGGGCCCAGAUCUCAGGUUCCCAGGCCCUUUCUUCAUGGUUGAUGUACCUUUCCUCCCCUCCAUUUACCUUAGCUACCACUUUGUGAUCAGUGAGGCAAUCAGGCAAGGCUUCUUUGAGGAGGUGGUGGUUACGUUGGGCUUUGAAGGGUGGGAAGGAUUUCCAUAGGCAGUUGUUCAGUUGCCAAGUUGUGUUCCGACUCUUCAUGACCCCAUGGACUGCAGCACACUAGGUAUCCCUGUCCCUCACCGUCUCCUGGAAUGUGCCCAAGU
This is a long non-coding RNA of Bos indicus x Bos taurus (hybrid cattle), 950 nucleotides long. The record is from Ensembl. Lineage: Eukaryota; Metazoa; Chordata; Mammalia; Artiodactyla; Bovidae.